Molecule: ribosomal RNA, 492 nt
Filed under: uncultured bacterium
Lineage: Bacteria
Description: partial 16S ribosomal RNA
Rfam family: Bacterial small subunit ribosomal RNA
Source: RNAcentral
AGUGAACGCUGGCGGUAGGCCUAACACAUGCCAGUCGAACGGCAGCACAGUAAGAGCUUGCUCUUACGGGUGGCGAGUGGCGGACGGGUGAGGAAUACAUCGGAAUCUACUUUUUCGUGGGGGAUAACGUAGGGAAACUUACGCUAAUACCGCAUACGACCUACGGGUGAAAGCAGGGGAUCUUCGGACCUUGCGCGAUUGAAUGAGCCGAUGUCGGAUUAGCUAGUUGGCGGGGUAAAGGCCCACCAAGGCGACGAUCCGUAGCUGGUCUGAGAGGAUGAUCAGCCACACUGGAACUGAGAUACGGUCCAGACUCCUACGGGAGGCAGCAGUGGGGAAUAUUGGACAAUGGGCGCAAGCCUGAUCCAGCCAUACCGCGUGGGUGAAGAAGGCCUUCGGGUUGUAAAGCCCUUUUGUUGGGAAAGAAAAGCAGCAGGUUAAUACCCCGCUGUUCUGACGGUACCCAAAGAAUAAGCACCGGCUAACUUCGUG